Molecule: transfer RNA, 76 nt
Filed under: Pseudundibacterium arcticum
Lineage: Bacteria; Pseudomonadati; Pseudomonadota; Betaproteobacteria; Burkholderiales; Oxalobacteraceae
Also listed under: 1 other name
Description: tRNA-Glu
Rfam family: tRNA
About the family: Transfer RNA (tRNA) molecules are approximately 80 nucleotides in length.
Source: RNAcentral
GUCCCCAUCGUCUAGAGGCCUAGGACAUCACCCUUUCACGGUGAGUACACGAGUUCGAAUCUCGUUGGGGACGCCA